Nomascus leucogenys (northern white-cheeked gibbon) is the source of this 97-nucleotide microRNA precursor. It matches the Rfam family "mir-544 microRNA precursor family". NCBI's taxonomy places the organism in Eukaryota, Metazoa, Chordata, Mammalia, Primates, Hylobatidae. The record is from Rfam.
GUCACCUAGGAAUCUUGUUAAAAUGUAGAUUCCAUUUGAGUUCAUCUGGGAUGGUGCCGAGAUUGUAAAUUUUUAACAAGCUCCUAAGUGAUGCUGG